GGAAUAGCUCAGUUGGUAGAGCAUGAGACUCUUAUUCUAAGGCCCUGGGUUCGAGCCCCACAUUGGGCCA
Molecule: non-coding RNA, 70 nt
Organism: Podarcis lilfordi (Lilford's wall lizard)
Lineage: Eukaryota; Metazoa; Chordata; Lepidosauria; Squamata; Lacertidae
Source: the annotation of a GenBank genome assembly